UUYUUUYUGAGAUCAUUGCAAGUAACUCCUGCUCAAUGAACAUUUAAAUAGCCGCGGAAAUUUAACUGUGCUAAGGUAGCAUAAUCAUUAGCCUCUUAAUUAGAGGCUUGUAUGAAUGGCGAAACAAUUCAAUUUCUUUCUUUUUUAUUUUUUUUGAAUCUUAAAUAAGAAUAAAAAUGUUCUUAUAAAACAAAUAGACGAUAAGACCCUUUUGAACUUCACUUUAGUUUAGCUGGGGCAGCUAAAAAAUAAUAAUCUUUUUUUUUUUUAUUUCAUUAGAUGACCCAAUAUAAUUGAUUUAACGAACAAGUUACCAUAGGGAUAACAGCGUAAUGUCUUUUUAAAGCUCUUAUUUAAAAGGAAGAUUGCGACCYCGAUGUUGAAUUAGKGUUACUUUAAUAAAGCAGCAAUUUUAUAAGKGAGCCUGUUCGGCUCAUAAAACACUACAU
This 449-nucleotide ribosomal RNA is filed under the name Acroaspis olorina. RNAcentral describes it as "partial 16S large subunit ribosomal RNA". It matches the Rfam family "Bacterial large subunit ribosomal RNA", at positions 1890 to 2601 of the family's 2925-position model. The record is from RNAcentral. Lineage: Eukaryota; Metazoa; Arthropoda; Arachnida; Araneae; Araneidae.